CCAAGGAGUCUAACAUGUGCGCGAGUCAUUGGGCUCUACGAAACCCACAGGCGUAAUGAAAGUGAAGGCGGCCUCUGGCCACUGAGGUGGGAUCCCUGCCCUCGGGGUGGGGCGCACCACCGGCCCGUCUCGCCGGCCGCGUCCGGGAGGCGGAGCAGGAGCGUACACGUUGGGACCCGAAAGAUGGUGAACUAUGCCUGAGCAGGACGAAGCCAGAGGAAACUCUGGUGGAGGUCCGUAGCGAUUCUGACGUGCAAAUCGAUCGUCAAACUUGGGUAUAGGGGCGAAAGACUAAUCGAACCGUCUA
This 307-nucleotide ribosomal RNA is filed under the name Aspidosiphon parvulus. RNAcentral's name for it is "eukaryotic LSU rRNA". It matches the Rfam family "Eukaryotic large subunit ribosomal RNA", at positions 666 to 946 of the family's 3401-position model. The record is from RNAcentral. Lineage: Eukaryota; Metazoa; Annelida; Sipuncula; Aspidosiphonidormes; Aspidosiphonidae.